AAAAGGUCAGAGGGACUGGCCAUAGGCAUAUGUGAAGCUUUCUUGCCAAUCUUCAUUGAACUCACACUUCAAAAGUCAUGGUUUUCUCUUUGUUUUAUUGUAAUUUUCUGUUUUAUUAUAAAGAAGAUUGCAGAAAAGAGGCAGAAUAGGAGAGCUGAAAGACAAAAAAAGAGUAUCUAAACAACAGAGGACACAUACUGGAAUCUCUGGAGCUCAUCCCUUCAGAGGGUCCUUCCCAGAAGAACUGUAUCUCCACUUCCUUGGUUCUCUGGAAUAAAUUACAACCUUAUGACUCAUGAGUCCAAACAGGACAGUCUUUACGUCUACCCAUCUUAUGAUUGAUGUGGCUCUCAAGGAACAACAAAACCUAAGCAAAUUAUGGGAAAAAGCAUUUAUCAACCACGCAAAUGAAGCCAUUCUUUAGUUUUUCUACACCAGGAGUUCCAAAACCAAGCUACAUUCAAAGAGAGAAACAACACAUUGGAUACUCAAGUUAUGAACCGUCAGAAGAGUCAGAAAUUC
Molecule: long non-coding RNA, 522 nt
Filed under: Pan troglodytes (chimpanzee)
Lineage: Eukaryota; Metazoa; Chordata; Mammalia; Primates; Hominidae
Description: long non-coding RNA NONPTRT018313
Source: RNAcentral